CAGCCGCCGCAGCCCCCGCAGGGUCCUGGGGUAGGGGCGGGCGGGGGCCCUGGAAACCACCGGGGAAGGUCGCUGGAAAAGUCCUCGGACACCCCCUCCUGCAAGGCGGCUGGCGGGGCCGGCUCCAGAAUCUGCCCUCUCACCAUCCUUCCGUUCAGUCGGGCUCUCGGAAUGGCUGGCCGCGGAGACUGUUGAGGGUGGAGGGGUCAGAAUCGACAAGUGUUGAUCCCUUCGGUCUAAGACUCAGGACUUGUCAGUUAUUUAAUGUGCUGGUCCAGCACACUGAAGGGAAACACGUUGGUGGUCUCUGGAUUUAGCCCCCACUCUCCUGAGAGACUGCUCUGCCAGCUUUUAGAUUCAAAUGGAGAAAAUCAUUUGCUGUGGAAGGAAGCGUCUCAUGAAAGAACCGUCACCGAACUGUCCCAGAGUCAGCAUGUAUCAUUCUCUGAAUCAGAUGCAACUUCUUCAGAAGGUACUGAGUUACCUGCGGACUGGAGUAUUAAAACCCGGCUCCUUUUCACCUCUUCUCAACCCUUUUCCUGGGCAGAGCAUUUGAAAGCACAGGAAGAAGCCCAAGGUCUUCUCCAGCAUUGUAGGGCAGCAGAAGUUACUUUACCCCAGAGUAUACAGGAUCCCAGACUCUGCACUGAGUUGCGUUGUGCCUUCCAGCAGACUCUUGUCUACUGGCUCCACCCUGCCUUUUCAUGGCUGCCGCUGUUCCCUCGAAUUGGAGCUGAUAGGAAAAUGGCGGGAAAGUCAAGCCCAUGGUCACACGAUGAGACCCUGCAGCAUACGUUAAUGAGUGACUGGUCUGUAAGUUUUACUUCCUUGUAUAACCUGUUGAAGACCAAGCUUUGCCCCUUUUUCUACGUUUGUACCUAUCAGUUUACCGUCCUGUUCCGGGCAGCCGGAUUAGCAGGAAGUGACGUGGUCACAGCGCUCAUAUCUCCUACAACUAGAGGUUUAAGAGAAGCUAUGAAAAAUGAAGGUAUUGAAUUUUCUCUGCCUUUGCUAGAAGCAAGUGGCUGUAAGAAGAAAGUAGGAGAAGCAAACCUGGAGUACGAUGAGGAGCAAGCGGCCAGCGAUGAAGAUGAAGAGGAGAGCUUGUCUUGGCUGGAAGAGAUAGGUGUGCAAGAUCAAAUUAAAAAGCCAGACACGAUCUCUAUCAAGCUACUGAGGGAAAAACAUGAAGUACAAGUGGAUCACAGGCCCGAGUCUGCUGUGCUGGUGAAAGGGCCCAACGCUUUCACAUUGCUCAACUUUUUGAUCAACUGCAAGAGCUUAGUUGCCACCUCGGGUGCCCAGGCAGGCCUCCCUCCGACCCUUUUAUCCCCGGUAGCCUUUCGAGGUGCCUCAAUGCAAAUGCUGAAGGCACGAAGCAUUAAUGUCAAGACACACGCUCUUUCUGGAUACAGAGAUCAGUUUAGUUUAGAGAUCACGGGUCCCAUCAUGCCUCAUGCUCUGCAUUCUGUGACCAUGCUACUCCGAUCUUCACAGAGAGGGUCAUUCUCUGCUGGGAUGUAUGCACAUGAGCCUACUGCUGUAUUCAAUGUCCGCCUGCCACUGGAUGAAGACCUGCAUAGAAAAGUUGAUCAUAAGGACCUUGCUAAUUGUGGGCUGCACCCCAAAACCCUGGAACAGCUAAGUCAAAUACCAUUGCUGGGGAAGUCAUCCUUACGGAAUGUGGAAAUGAGUGACUACAUCUAUAAUUGGAGAUCCUGAACACCAAAGCUUGGGCACCAGUAUUAGCCAGCUGUUCCUGUGUCAGGACUUGCACUCCCGUACUUCCUGUGAACUGCCCAGGGAUAGAGUUCAACUGAGCCCAGGCAUCAAUCUGAAGAAAAAGAAGCCAUCUUCAUUACGUAAAAUUACUGAUCUGAUGUAAGUGCCAUACUGGUAGUUUAAUUCACUGAGGAAAAACGGUUUGGUUCCUAAAAUAGCCAAAUAAUGAUAUAUUUAAAGUUCAAUGUUUUCCCAAGUCUUCCAGUUUUACAGCAUUCAAUGAAAUCUACUAAUGCAGAAGAAGAUGCUACAUGUAAAAAAAUAAACCACAGUCUAUGUAUUAAGAUUCUUGGAAAAUGAGAAGAUUCGAAAGGCAAAGAGGGCACUCCUGGAAAAUAGAAGACAAUUAAGAUUCACACAAGUAUCGUGAAAAUUCUGUAGUCACUCCUUACUGAGGAUGCUGCUGGCUGGUUUCUGGGAAGGAAGACGAUGCUAUGGCAGAGGGGACACCACCUGAGGAGUUCUUUUCCAUAACAUGGAUUGACGCAGUUCUGUCCGUGUCAUGUCAGCACACUCACGUGCAAGACAGUUGUGGGAUCAGGGGUGACAACAAGGAUAUUUAAGCCCUUGUGAAGAUAUAUUCUGUCAUCUUUGCUAAAAUGUUUUAUGGUCAAGACUGAAGAUCCCUAAACUUCAGUUAUAUUUAUUAAAAUUAAAACAAAAAAGGAGGAUUUUAAAAAUACUACCUCACCGUUUACAAAAAAAAAAAAAAAAAGAAAUUUGCAUUACUCUUAAUAAAAAAAAUCUCAUUUGAAGCCCCACUGAAACCAGAAGGGUCAGUGCUCCUCUGAUAGAACAUCAACUCUACAAAUAUAGUACACUUAGAUGGUAGUAACAAGCUGAGUAGUGUUAUCAAUUGUCAGCCUUCCUUGGGCGUCUUUAACACUGCUUCAGAAAUGCAUAUAUGACAGCAAAACCAUCGUGUCUUUUCCUAGUUUGGAAUUCUUUUCAUCAGUCUACACUCUGCAUCUAUCUCCCCAGGAAACAUUACGCUUUAUUCAUCUGACCCACUGGUCGGGCGUUCCUUUUGGUCCAGUGUUUCCGUCUUCUCUCAACACUGCCCCCUUAAUUAGAAUCUAACCUCUAGCGGGAGAAGAGGCUACAGCAUCACUUCCAAUGUUGAGACUGAAAAUGGCAGUCAAAUUUUAAAUAAUAAACUUUCUUGUUCAAAAAAUAUAAUCAACAUGCACUAAGCAUUUUCCCCAUGAUUCAGCAGAAGCUAAAAAUUAUAAUCCUUUUCUCAAGAAAAUGUCAGAAUUCUACAAUAUUUCUAAGUCUUUGCUACAUAGGAGAUUCUCUCUGGCUAUAGUCUUCCCAGCUGUUUAAAUGAUAAUCUGUAAUAAACUACCGAAAGCAUA
Peromyscus maniculatus bairdii (prairie deer mouse) is the source of this 3140-nucleotide RNA transcript. It is a transcript of the gene named DNA replication fork stabilization factor DONSON, with no coding region annotated. The record is from RefSeq and is a predicted model, not a curated record. NCBI's taxonomy places the organism in Eukaryota, Metazoa, Chordata, Mammalia, Rodentia, Cricetidae.